This 650-nucleotide ribosomal RNA is filed under the name uncultured bacterium. Its description in RNAcentral is "bacterial SSU rRNA". It matches the Rfam family "Bacterial small subunit ribosomal RNA", at positions 61 to 710 of the family's 1533-position model. The record is from RNAcentral.
GCCAAACCCGGAAGCUGCUCUCUGGCGGCGAGUGGCGGACGGGUGAGUAACGCGUAGGAAUCUACCUUAUAGUGGGGGACAACUCGGGGAAACUCGGGCUAAUACCGCAUAAUCUCUACGGAGCAAAGCAGGGGACCUUCGGGCCUUGCGCUAUUAGAUGAGCCUGCGUCGGAUUAGCUUGUUGGUGGGGUAAAGGCCUACCAAGGCGACGAUCCGUAGCUGGUCUGAGAGGACGAUCAGCCACACUGGGACUGAGACACGGCCCAGACUCCUACGGGAGGCAGCAGUGGGGAAUAUUGGACAAUGGGGGAAACCCUGAUCCAGCAAUGCCGCGUGUGUGAAGAAGGCCUUCGGGUUGUAAAGCACUUUCAGUGGGGAAGAAAGUUCUGAGGAUAAUACCCUUAGGAUUUGACGUUACCCACAGAAGAAGCACUGGCUAACUCUGUGCCAGCAGCCGCGGUAAUACAGGGAGUGCAAGCGUUAAUCGGAAUUACUGGGCGUAAAGCGCACGUAGGUGGGCAUUUAAGUCGAAUGUGAAAGCCCCGGGCUCAACCUGGGAACUGCAUUCGAUACUGGGUGCCUAGAGUAUGGUAGAGGGAAGUGGAAUUUCCGGUGUAGCGGUGAAAUGCGUAGAUAUCGGAAGGAACACC